GUGCCCACUUGAUCAGGCGGUGAGGUCUCUCUCCCACGGGGUUUGGGAGCAGAGAGCUGCUGCGGUCCGGGAUCCGCCGGUGUGGGACUUCCGGUAAACACAGGAAGUGCCCGGCCUUAGAGGAAUUUUGCCUCUGUGUGUCCUGAGUUCACCAGGCAGGUUUCUUGCAGGGGAAAAGUUGGUCCUACCUGUGGUUCCAAGGCUCAAGUUUGCUCGUGGGGUACUGCCUAAGUCCUCUCCGCUGUGGCAGCAACCGGGAAAAUCUGUGCCGCUCCUUCCGGGAGCCUCCGUGCA
Molecule: long non-coding RNA, 294 nt
Filed under: Rattus norvegicus (Norway rat)
Lineage: Eukaryota; Metazoa; Chordata; Mammalia; Rodentia; Muridae
Description: long non-coding RNA NONRATT013816
Source: RNAcentral